This 361-nucleotide ribosomal RNA is filed under the name uncultured Streptococcus sp. Its description in RNAcentral is "bacterial SSU rRNA". It matches the Rfam family "Bacterial small subunit ribosomal RNA", at positions 1026 to 1382 of the family's 1533-position model. Lineage: Bacteria; Bacillati; Bacillota; Bacilli; Lactobacillales; Streptococcaceae. The record is from RNAcentral.
AUCGGUGGACAGGUGGUGCAUGGUUGUCGUCAGCUCGUGUCGUGAGAUGUUGGGUUAAGUCCCGCAACGAGCGCAACCCCUACUUGUUAGUUGCCAUCAUUCAGUUGGGCACUCUAGCGAGACUGCCGGUAAUAAACCGGAGGAAGGUGGGGAUGACGUCAAAUCAUCAUGCCCCUUAUGACCUGGGCUACACACGUGCUACAAUGGUUGGUACAACGAGUUGCGAGUCGGUGACGGCGAGCUAAUACUCUUAAAGCCAAUCUCAGUUCGGAUUGUAGGCUGCAACUCGCCUACAUGAAGGUCGGAAUCGCUAGUAAUCGCGGAUCAGCACGCCCGCGGUCCGAAUACGUUCCCGGGCCUU